AGUGAACGCUGGCGGUAGGCCUAACACAUGCAAGUCGAACGGCAGCACAGUAAGAGCUUGCGCUUACGGGUGGCGAGUGGCGAACGGGGGAGAAAUACAUCGGAAUCUACUUUUUCUUAGGUGAUAACGUAGGGAAACUUACGCUAAUACCGCAUACGACCCACGUGUGAAAGCAGCGGAUCUUCGGACCUUGCGCGAGUGAAGGAGCCGAUGUCGGAUUAGCUAGUUGGCGGGGUAAAGGCCCACCAAGGCGACGAUCCGUAGCUGGUCUGAGAGGAUGAUCAGUCACACUGGAACUGAGACACGGUCCAGACUCCUACGGGAGGCAGCAGUGGGGAAUAUUGGACAAUGGGCGCAAGCCUGAUCCAGCCAUACCGCGUGGGUGAAGAAGGUCUUCGGGUUGUAAAGCACUUUUGUUGGGAAAGAAAAGCAGCAGGUUAAUACCCCGCUGUUCUGACGGUACCAAAAGAAUAAGCACCGGCUAACUUCGUG
RNAcentral lists this ribosomal RNA (492 nucleotides) under uncultured bacterium. Its description in RNAcentral is "partial 16S ribosomal RNA". It matches the Rfam family "Bacterial small subunit ribosomal RNA", at positions 29 to 507 of the family's 1533-position model. The record is from RNAcentral.